Leptidea sinapis is the source of this 1549-nucleotide RNA transcript. It is a transcript of the gene named collagen alpha-1(IX) chain-like, with no coding region annotated. NCBI's taxonomy places the organism in Eukaryota, Metazoa, Arthropoda, Insecta, Lepidoptera, Pieridae. The record is from RefSeq and is a predicted model, not a curated record. The transcript is spliced from 13 exons.
AUAAUAAUUUCCGACCGCGUCAUAUAAUUUCUGCAUCCAAUAAAUAGCCAAUGCCGUUAUAAACGAAAGCAGUAAAGAUUCAGAACAGAAGCCAAAAUGUUGAAAUAUAUUUGCGUGGCUCUCUUCAUUGGUGUUACUAUUGAAAGUAGCUUUCAAGCUGAUACAGAUGUUCUAGGACCACCGCAGAGUGGGGAAGUACCUUCAGACGGCGACAGGAUUGCCAAAUAUGUCUCAUCGGGAUCUAGGGGACCUCUUGGACCAGGUAAUCAAGUAAAAGGAUCGCCAUCACCGUGCGGGGGAAAUGGUCAAAAUGGAGGUAAAGAUUCAGGACCUUCGCCGAAGGGACAUGGCCACAAAGAAAAAGGAACAGCAUGUUCACCGAAGGGACAUGGCCACAAAGGAGGGGGUAAGUCAUUCUAUAUUUUUGCUGCAGAGAAUCUGAAACAUCCCCUUAACCGAGGUUCUUAUAUCUAGCUUCCACAUCUCUGUUCGUCUCUAGUACCGUAGAAACAAGAUCUUAUGUUAAUUAUUACUUGAAAUAAUCAUCAUCAUCAUCAACGUCAAGGUAACAGCAAAGUGUGACGAUUCUUUUUUAAAUUCUGCCAUACACCGAUAUAGACGUUUCACUUCAAAAAUUCAAUUGUAAUAGACAAUGUAUUUGUCAUUAAAUGACAGAGAUGUCAGUUGUCAGUCAGUUCGGUGGCACAUAAAACAAAAACAACAUUGCGCGUAACCGAAAAUCGUGACGAUUUGCUAUAAAAUAUCUCAUACACGUCGAUAAAGAACCUUUUUAAGGGAAACUUCACUUCAAGAACUGCCAUAUCCUUUUUGAAGUGAAACUUCUGAAUGCCAGUUGUUGAUUGAUGAUGAAUAAUAAUGACUAAAUGCAAGCUUGACGAUCUGCAUAGCCCAGUGGUUAGCAACCCUACCUACUAAGCUAGAGGUCCCGGGUUCGAGUCCCGGUAGGUGCAAACAUUUGUAUGAUGAAUAUGGAUGUUUUUUUCCGAGUCUUGGAUGUUUAUAUGUAUUUAUGUAUGUUCAAGUAAGUAUAUUGUAUUAAAUAUCAUCGUCUUGUACCCAUAGGACAUGCUAUGCCUAAUUUGGGGCAAGAUAAUUUGUGUGUGUGUCAAUAUUUUUAUUAUUAUUAUUAUUAAUAAACCGCACAGUUUUCGAAUUAGUUUUUGGCUUUCUUUAUUUGCUUUUGUCGCGUUCGCUUUGCUUUAAUAUAAUUUAAUUGAUCAACAGAAAAAGGAACACCAUCACCGUGCGAGGGAAAUGAUCAUAAAGGAGGUAAAGAUUCAGGACCUUCGCCGAAGGGACAUGGCCACAAAGAAAAAGGAACAGCAUGUUCACCGAAGGGAAAUGGCCACAAAGGACACAAGGGAAAAGGCCACAAAGGUUAAUCAAGAAGUCACCCCUCCGGAUCUAACAUAGGUGAAAGGUGAUGACGUCGUUAAUUCAAAUCAAAUGUCGACUAUUUUAGAAUAACUUUUGUAUACUUACUUAUAAAUUAAAAUAAACUCAUUAAAAUUUACAAGCAUUAACUUGA